RNAcentral lists this ribosomal RNA (931 nucleotides) under Solibacillus sp. RNAcentral's name for it is "bacterial SSU rRNA". It matches the Rfam family "Bacterial small subunit ribosomal RNA", at positions 41 to 972 of the family's 1533-position model. Lineage: Bacteria; Bacillati; Bacillota; Bacilli; Caryophanales; Caryophanaceae. The record is from RNAcentral.
GGUGGGGGCUAUACAUGCAGUCGAGCGGAAUUUUAUUGGUGCUUGCACCUUUAAAAUUUUAGCGGCGGACGGGUGAGUAACACGUGGGUAACCUACCUUAUAGAUUGGGAUAACUCCGGGAAACCGGGGCUAAUACCGAAUAAUACUUUUUAACACAUGUUUGAAAGUUGAAAGACGGUUUCGGCUGUCACUAUAAAAUGGACCCGCGGCGCAUUACCUAGUUGGUGAGGUAACGGCUCACCAAGGCAACGAUGCGUACCCAACCUGAGAGGGUGAUCGGCCACACUGGGACUGAAACACGGCCCAAACUCCUACGGGAGGCAGCAGUAGGGAAUCUUCCACAAGGGACAAAAGUCUGAUGGACCACCGCCCCGUGAGUGAAAAAGGAUUUCGGUUCGAAAAACUCUGUUGCAGGGGAAAAACAAGUACCGUAUUACCUGGCGCUACCUUGACGGUACCUUGUUAAAAAGCCACGGCUAACUACUUGCCACCACCCGCGGUAAUACGUAGGUGGCAAGCGUUGUCCGGAAUUAUUGGGCGUAAAGCGCGCGCAGGUGGUUCCUUAAUUCUGAUGUGAAACCCCCCGGCUCACCCGGGGAGGGUCAUUGAAAACUGGGGAACUUGAGUGCAAAAAAGGAUAGUGAAAUUCCAAGUGUAGCGGUGAAAUGCGUAGAGAUUUGGAGGACCACCAGUGGCGAAGGCGACUGUCUGGUCUGUAACUGACACUGAGGCGCGAAAGCGUGGGAGCAAACAGGAUUAGAUACCCUGGUAGUCCACGCGUAAACGAUGGAGUGCUAGUGUGGGGGGUUUCCGCCCCUCAGUGCUGCAGCUACGCAAUAGCACUUCGCUGAGAGUACGGUCGCAGACUGACUCAAGGAAUGGACGGCGCAAGCGUGGACAUGUGAUAAUUCGAAGCAACGCGAAGAAAUCU